Molecule: ribosomal RNA, 686 nt
Filed under: Pseudonocardia sp.
Lineage: Bacteria; Bacillati; Actinomycetota; Actinomycetes; Pseudonocardiales; Pseudonocardiaceae
Description: bacterial SSU rRNA
Rfam family: Bacterial small subunit ribosomal RNA
Source: RNAcentral
GCGGUAAGGCCCUUCGGGGUACACGAGCGGCGAACGGGUGAGUAACACGUGGGUGACCUGCCCCCAACUCUGGGAUAAGCCCGGGAAACUGGGUCUAAUACCGGAUAUGACCACAUGUCGCAUGGUGUGUGGUGGAAAGUUUUUCGGUUGGGGAUGGGCCCGCGGCCUAUCAGCUUGUUGGUGGGGUGAUGGCCUACCAAGGCGACGACGGGUAGCCGGCCUGAGAGGGCGACCGGCCACACUGGGACUGAGACACGGCCCAGACUCCUACGGGAGGCAGCAGUGGGGAAUAUUGCGCAAUGGGCGAAAGCCUGACGCAGCGACGCCGCGUGGGGGAUGACGGCCUUCGGGUUGUAAACCUCUUUCGCCAGGGACGAAGCGAAAGUGACGGUACCUGGAUAAGAAGCACCGGCCAACUACGUGCCAGCAGCCGCGGUAAUACGUAGGGUGCGAGCGUUGUCCGGAAUUAUUGGGCGUAAAGAGCUCGUAGGCGGUCUGUCGCGUCGGUCGUGAAAACUUGGGGCUUAACCCUGAGCUUGCGGUCGAUACGGGCAUGACUGGAGUUCGGCAGGGGAGACUGGAAUUCCUGGUGUAGCGGUGAAAUGCGCAGAUAUCAGGAGGAACACCGGUGGCGAAGGCGGGUCUCUGGGCCGAUACUGACGCUGAGGAGCGAAAGCGUGGGGAGC